AAGCCCGGGGCUCAACCUCGGAACCGCAUUUGAAACUGGCAGGCUAGAGUCUUGUAGAGGGGGGUAGAAUUUCAGGUGUAGCGGUGAAAUGCGUAGAGAUCUGAAGGAAUACCAGUGGCGAAGGCGGCCCCCUGGACAAAGACUGACGCUCAGAUGCGAAAGCGUGGGUAGCAAACAGGAUUAGAUACCCUGGUAGUCCACGCCGUAAACGCUGUCUACUUGGAGGUUGAGGUUUAGACUUUGGCUUUCGGCGCUAACGCAUUAAGUAGACCGCCUGGGGAGUACGGCCGCAAGGUUAAAACUCAAAUGAAUUGACGGGGGCCCGCACAAGCGGUGGAGCAUGUGGUUUAAUUCGAUGCAACGCGAAGAACCUUACCUACUCUUGACAUCCAGCGAAGCCUUUAGAGAUAGAGGCGUGCCUUCGGGAGCGCUGAGACAGGUGCUGCAUGGCUGUCGUCAGCUCGUGUUGUGAAAUGUUGGGUUAAGUCCCGCAACGAGCGCAACCCUUAUCCUUGUUUGCCAGCACGUAAUGGUGGGAACUCCAGGGAGACUGCCGGUGAUAAACCGGAGGAAGGUGGGGACGACGUCAAGUCAUCAUGGCCCUUACGAGUAGGGCUACACACGUGCUACAAUGGCAGAUACAGAGGGCAGCGAAGCUGCGAAGUGGAGCGAAUCCCUUAAAGUCUGUCGUAGUCCGGAUUGGAGUCUGCAACUCGACUCCAUGAAGUCGGAAUCGCUAGUAAUCGUGGAUCAGAAUGCCACGGUGAAUACGUUCCCGGGCCUUGUACACACCGCCCGU
Molecule: ribosomal RNA, 799 nt
Filed under: uncultured bacterium
Lineage: Bacteria
Description: bacterial SSU rRNA
Rfam family: Bacterial small subunit ribosomal RNA
Source: RNAcentral